CAAAUGGAUGAAGAAGAACUCGUCGCAUACAUGGUCGCCGGCCUCGACUCUGAUUACGAGCCGGUGGUAUCAGCACUUGCGGCACAGAAGGAACCAGUCAUCGUAGCAGAGCUCUAUGGGCAACUGCUCGGGUUUGAAG
This 139-nucleotide small nucleolar RNA is filed under the name Oryza punctata. Its description in RNAcentral is "Small nucleolar RNA Z247". It matches the Rfam family "Small nucleolar RNA Z247". Rfam says of the family: Z247 is a member of the C/D class of snoRNA which contain the C (UGAUGA) and D (CUGA) box motifs. Most of the members of the box C/D family function in directing site-specific 2'-O-methylation of substrate RNAs. Lineage: Eukaryota; Viridiplantae; Streptophyta; Magnoliopsida; Poales; Poaceae. The record is from Rfam by way of RNAcentral.